Non-coding RNA from Odocoileus virginianus texanus, 1275 nucleotides. The record is from RefSeq and is a predicted model, not a curated record. Lineage: Eukaryota; Metazoa; Chordata; Mammalia; Artiodactyla; Cervidae.
UCAGGUUCUGUAACGCUUCAACUGUGAUUCCACCAGAUUAGCGUGUUGCCCCAAGUCUGCGUGUGGGGCCUGGAGGUCUGAGGAUGGCAGAAGUCGGAGACCCACCCACUGUACAUCAGAAGGCUCUGUGAGGUCCUGUGAUAUAUGCUUGAACAAUGCAGGUGGGGAAACUGAGGCCCACCAGGCAUAAGCCUCCCCGGAGAUCCCCAGGGCGGCGCCGUGUGGUCCUGUCCAGCGCUGAGUUUUAAGGGCCCAGUCCAGUGCUUGGGCCAUAGCAGACAUUCAACAGCUAUUUGGAAAACCCUCACGCCGUCCGCAGGCUUUCCCACCUUGGGAAAUGGCCCCAAUGUCCACCUGUUGCUCAUGCUUGGAACCUGGAAUCAUCCUCGCCCCUGCAUGCAAUCCAUCUGAAAACCCUGCUGAUUCUACUUCCAAACUACCUCUCAAACCUAGGCACUGUCCCCCACCUUCACAGCUGCCAGCGUGCUCCGAGCCACCAUCGUCUCUCACCUGUGUGGUCAUCUUCACCCGAAUCUCUAAACAAAACCAGAGUGGACUUUGAAACGCAAAUCACAACGGUCAAGCCCUGCUUAAAGCUCCUCUCCUUCUUAGGUAGGAAGAAGAAAAAGAACUUGAUCCUGCUUGUUCAUUCUGCCCUUCGGCACACCUUCACAGUAAAACUUAAGCACCGUCUGUCCCUCCGUCUCUUUCUUUCUUCAACUGACUCCAUUCAAGCUUUUGCACUCCCCUCCCCUGCCCCUGCCACACAUACCCUGACCUCCCACCAAGGUCCCCAGUGGCCUCUGAGCUGUUGCGUCAGUGGUCAUUCUUGGUCCACGUCUCCCUCGACCUCUCUUCACAUGGACACAGCCACCUGCCCCCUCCUCCGGGCCUCGCUUUCCUCUCCCGGCCCCCUGGGCAUCCCCUGGCUUGGUUUUCCUCCCUUCUCACAGCUCCCUGCGGCUUUCCUCCUCGGCGCUCUCCCCCUCAGCCCCCUGCUUUGAGGCUCAGUCCCUGGGCCCUCCUCUACCUACACUCAGCUCCUGAGUGGUCCCAAACGGUCUCAUAAUUUUAAAUGUCGUCAAGAUGCAGAGGAUUCCCAAACGUGCACCUCCAGCUGAAAGCCUUGCCUCAAUUCCAGACUCAUCUACCCCCCAAAACUUUCUUGACAUCCCCACUUAAGAAAAAUAACAAGCAUCUCAAACUCAGGCCUAAGACUUAACACCUAAUCUUCCUCCCAAAAUUUACUCCACCCUCAGCCUCCCCAGGACUUCC